RNAcentral lists this unclassified non-coding RNA (25 nucleotides) under Mus musculus (house mouse). Its description in RNAcentral is "oocyte_clustered_small_RNA3193". Lineage: Eukaryota; Metazoa; Chordata; Mammalia; Rodentia; Muridae. The record is from RNAcentral.
UUGUCUGAGCCGAUUACCUUGGGAA